RNAcentral lists this ribosomal RNA (518 nucleotides) under Peribacillus frigoritolerans. RNAcentral describes it as "bacterial SSU rRNA". It matches the Rfam family "Bacterial small subunit ribosomal RNA", at positions 75 to 578 of the family's 1533-position model. The record is from RNAcentral. Lineage: Bacteria; Bacillati; Bacillota; Bacilli; Caryophanales; Bacillaceae.
GGAGCUUGCUCCCUGAGAUUAGCGGCGGACGGGUGAGUAACACGUGGGCAACCUGCCUAUAAGACUGGGAUAACUUCGGGAAACCGGAGCUAAUACCGGAUACGUUCUUUUCUCGCAUGAGAGAAGAUGGAAAGACGGUUUACGCUGUCACUUAUAGAUGGGCCCGCGGCGCAUUAGCUAGUUGGUGAGGUAAUGGCUCACCAAGGCGACGAUGCGUAGCCGACCUGAGAGGGUGAUCGGCCACACUGGGACUGAGACACGGCCCAGACUCCUACGGGAGGCAGCAGUAGGGAAUCUUCCGCAAUGGACGAAAGUCUGACGGAGCAACGCCGCGUGAACGAAGAAGGCCUUCGGGUCGUAAAGUUCUGUUGUUAGGGAAGAACAAGUACCAGAGUAACUGCUGGUACCUUGACGGUACCUAACCAGAAAGCCACGGCUAACUACGUGCCAGCAGCCGCGGUAAUACGUAGGUGGCAAGCGUUGUCCGGAAUUAUUGGGCGUAAAGCGCGCGCANGUGG